CUACCGGGGUUUCUAAUCCUGUUUGCUCCCCACGCUUUCGCACCUCAGCGUCAGUGUUGGUCCAGGAAGCCGCCUUCGCCACUGAUGUUCCUCCGGAUCUCUACGCAUUUCACCGCUACACCCGGAAUUCCGCUUCCCUCUACCACACUCCAGUCAGACAGUAUCGAAUGCAAUUCCCAGGUUAAGCCCGGGGCUUUCACAUCCGACUUAUCAAACCGCCUACGCGCGCUUUACGCCCAGUAAUUCCGAUUAACGCUUGCACCCUCUGUAUUACCGCGGCUGCUGGCAC
This 289-nucleotide ribosomal RNA is filed under the name uncultured Gammaproteobacteria bacterium. Its description in RNAcentral is "partial 16S ribosomal RNA". Lineage: Bacteria; Pseudomonadati; Pseudomonadota; Gammaproteobacteria. The record is from RNAcentral.